RNAcentral lists this ribosomal RNA (253 nucleotides) under uncultured bacterium. RNAcentral's name for it is "partial 16S ribosomal RNA". It matches the Rfam family "Bacterial small subunit ribosomal RNA", at positions 524 to 776 of the family's 1533-position model. The record is from RNAcentral.
UACGUAGGCAGCGAGCGUUGUUCGGAGUUACUGGGCGUAAAGAGUGCGUAGGCGGUUUUCUAAGUUUGGUGUGAAAUCUCCCGGCUUAACUGGGAGGGUGCGCCGAAAACUGGAAGGCUUGAGUAUGAGAGAGGUAAGCGGAAUUCCUGGUGUAGCGGUGAAAUGCGUAGAUAUCAGGAGGAACACCUGCGGUGUAGACGGCUUACUGGACCAUAACUGACGCUGAGGCACGAAAGCGUGGGUAGCAAACAGG